GAUGAACGCUAGCGGCGGGCCUAAUACAUGCAAGUCGAGGGGCAUCGCGGGUAGCAAUACUUGGCGGCGACCGGCGCACGGGUGCGUAACGCGUAUGCAAUCUACCUUCAACUGGUGAAUAGCCCGAAGAAAUUCGGAUUAACACACCAUAAUAUAUUAGAGUGGCAUCACUUUAAUAUUAAAACUCCGGUGGUUGAAGAUGAGCAUGCGUGACAGUUAGCUAGUUGGUGAGGUAACGGCUCACCAAGGCGUACGAUGUCUAGGGGAUCUCGAGAGGAUUAACCCCCANACUGGUACUGAGACACGGGACCAGACUCCUACGGGAGGCAGCAGUAAGGAAUAUUGGACAAUAGUGGAAACACUGAUCCAGCCAUGCGCGUGAGGAUGACGGCCCUAUGGGUUGUAAACUUACUUUUGUACGGGAAAAAACCUCUUUACGUAUUAAAGAGCUGAUUGUACUGUAAGAAUAAGG
RNAcentral lists this ribosomal RNA (472 nucleotides) under uncultured bacterium. RNAcentral's name for it is "bacterial SSU rRNA". It matches the Rfam family "Bacterial small subunit ribosomal RNA", at positions 28 to 491 of the family's 1533-position model. The record is from RNAcentral.